GGGAAAACAGCAACAGAAAUAGUUGGAGAGCAGUGAUCAUCCUAUGCAUUGCCUUACGUACUACAAAGGGAGGGCUGUCAUCAUCCGCAUAAAGCCCAAGCUUUCUGUACUAUGUGACCCUGCUUCAUUUUUAGGUUUGGGUUUAUAGCACCAGCACUUAAAAGGCUGUCUGGGCCAGGUCCUGUGGUCAGUGGAAAACACGUCUACCAAGGCAGACUAACCAACCCACCAGAGCUCAUGGAUACCCAGGUUCUUUGUUGUGCCUGUGGCCUCUGCAGAUGGAAGGUCUGAGUUCUGUGAAUGAAACACAGCAAUUCGGAAAGGAAACCCCACCGCUCACUGCAGUUCAAUGUGAAGUGGAGUACUCCUCCCCACACUUACAGAAGUAGGACGAUGUCCUUAAAGUUAAAAAAAAAAAAAGUCAUACAGCCAUAAAUAUCAAUGGCUGAAUAGUUUGUAGUACUUAUUUCAUUCUCGAGUUGUAACAAAGGUUGGUUUGAGCUGGCUUCUUAAAAAGCAUGUGGCAUUUCCAAGUCCUCACACCUCCCUUUAUGGGCUCAGCAGUGGAGACUGGUGGGGAAGGUCCUGCGUACAUGACUUUGUCACUUCCAGAAGGUGAAGCCCACAGUGUGGAGUUUCCGGGGCUGUGAGCAAGGUUCCUGUGUGUAGCUGAUCAUUCUCCCCCAGCACUGCAAAGCCGCUGUUACAAACUGGCCUCCCACCACUCAAGGCACACAGCACAGGGCAAUAAAUAUCUGCUAAAAGAAGUCAGACUGGUCUCCGGGAAGAGAUAACUCUGCUCCUUCUGUGAAUUCUUCAGCUGUACUGCAGACAUUACUUGUGCUGGGAGAUGGCGGUUGCUGGGGAAAAAACCUGAGAAACCCUAGUUCAUAUCCUCCCUCUGACACUUCUUAGAGGUUCCAGAACGGGAAGUUGCUUCCAGAGUUUUUUAUGUCCCCUCUACGGCGGCAGAUGCCGCAGAGUUCGGCUCCCGCAUGGGGUCCAGCCACCGUCCUCAGAGGGGCUUCCAUGCUGGCGCCCAGCUGCACGGAGCUGACGGCCGCACAUGAGGGUAAGCUGUCUCAUUAUACCUGAUCAGUUUUACAGAUGCAAAGUUGAGGCAAACAGAAUGAGGUUGCCACGACAGAGAACUUCAUAAAACGUUAUCCGGGGAUGAUGGAGAAGCAGGCGGGGCCGUGUCGAGGUCCCUCCGACUGUUUCUGGCCUCCCCAGCCUUUAGCUCCUCUCUAACCACCUCCGCCCCUAGCAGAUUGUCUUCCCCAGCUACCCUUCAUCUCUGCUACCUCUGUUGAGAGCUGGGGAAAACAUUGGCUUGCACAGCUCUUUGCACCUUGCUGGCUCAAACAAUGAUCACACAUCUACUCUGCCCUAACCCUGCCAUACGGAAAGAAAGGUCUGCGACAACAUGCUGGAGCUCUUAAUCAUAAAGCACAGCUCUGUCCCUACCCCCUUGGGUAAGGUCUAUCUGCAUGGUGGAUCUGGAGGGAAGGGCCCCCACAUCACCUCCUCCUGGGACCCUACCAGUAGUGAUUCAUUCAUUCCUUUAGGUGAAGCCUCAAGGAAUAUGCAACCUUCUACCUUUUACCUUGGCUCUGGCCACACUCCUUCAGACCCAUCCUGAGAGAAAAGUGCCCUCUGCUUAGCCUAGAGCCUGUGGAAGGAGAUCAAAAAGGGAGUCCUCUUCAGAAUCUUUAAAUUAACGGCACAGGGAAGGGAUUUAUGGGAGCACCCUUCUGUAGAUGCACAAGCUGUUUCUUCUAGAGCUAUUAGGGAGGCCGUUUUCCUGGAGGCGAGGAAGCACAGUGCGGGGGAGAAGGAGCUGUAAGGCAGAGAACUGUUCUCCCAGCCUGUGCAGGGGGAGACGGAGCCGGCCCUCCC
RNAcentral lists this long non-coding RNA (1899 nucleotides) under Homo sapiens (human). RNAcentral describes it as "HSALNT0372371". The record is from RNAcentral. Lineage: Eukaryota; Metazoa; Chordata; Mammalia; Primates; Hominidae.